RNAcentral lists this ribosomal RNA (1972 nucleotides) under Klebsiella variicola. RNAcentral describes it as "bacterial LSU rRNA". It matches the Rfam family "Bacterial large subunit ribosomal RNA", at positions 146 to 2141 of the family's 2925-position model. Lineage: Bacteria; Pseudomonadati; Pseudomonadota; Gammaproteobacteria; Enterobacterales; Enterobacteriaceae. The record is from RNAcentral.
CACUAUCGUUAACUGAAUACAUAGGUUAACGAGGCGAACCGGGGGAACUGAAACAUCUAAGUACCCCGAGGAAAAGAAAUCAACCGAGAUUCCCCCAGUAGCGGCGAGCGAACGGGGAGCAGCCCAGAGUCUGAAUCAGCUUGUGUGUUAGUGGAACGGUCUGGAAAGUCCGACGGUACAGGGUGAUAGUCCCGUACACCAAAAUGCACAGGCUGUGAACUCGAAGAGUAGGGCGGGACACGUGGUAUCCUGUCUGAAUAUGGGGGGACCAUCCUCCAAGGCUAAAUACUCCUGACUGACCGAUAGUGAACCAGUACCGUGAGGGAAAGGCGAAAAGAACCCCGGCGAGGGGAGUGAAAAAGAACCUGAAACCGUGUACGUACAAGCAGUGGGAGCACCUUCGGGUGUGACUGCGUACCUUUUGUAUAAUGGGUCAGCGACUUAUAUUCUGUAGCAAGGUUAACCGUAUAGGGGAGCCGCAGGGAAACCGAGUCUUAACUGGGCGUUAAGUUGCAGGGUAUAGACCCGAAACCCGGUGAUCUAGCCAUGGGCAGGUUGAAGGUUGGGUAACACUAACUGGAGGACCGAACCGACUAAUGUUGAAAAAUUAGCGGAUGACUUGUGGCUGGGGGUGAAAGGCCAAUCAAACCGGGAGAUAGCUGGUUCUCCCCGAAAGCUAUUUAGGUAGCGCCUCGUGAACUCAUCUUCGGGGGUAGAGCACUGUUUCGGCUAGGGGGUCAUCCCGACUUACCAACCCGAUGCAAACUACGAAUACCGAAGAAUGUUAUCACGGGAGACACACGGCGGGUGCUAACGUCCGUCGUGAAGAGGGAAACAACCCAGACCGCCAGCUAAGGUCCCAAAGUCAUGGUUAAGUGGGAAACGAUGUGGGAAGGCACAGACAGCCAGGAUGUUGGCUUAGAAGCAGCCAUCAUUUAAAGAAAGCGUAAUAGCUCACUGGUCGAGUCGGCCUGCGCGGAAGAUGUAACGGGGCUAAACCAUGCACCGAAGCUGCGGCAGCGACGCUUAUGCGUUGUUGGGUAGGGGAGCGUUCUGUAAGCCUGCGAAGGUGGCCUGUGAGGGUUGCUGGAGGUAUCAGAAGUGCGAAUGCUGACAUAAGUAACGAUAAAGCGGGUGAAAAGCCCGCUCGCCGGAAGACCAAGGGUUCCUGUCCAACGUUAAUCGGGGCAGGGUGAGUCGACCCCUAAGGCGAGGCCGAAAGGCGUAGUCGAUGGGAAACAGGUUAAUAUUCCUGUACUUGGUGUUACUGCGAAGGGGGGACGGAGAAGGCUAUGUUAGCCGGGCGACGGUUGUCCCGGUUUAAGCAUGUAGGCGGAGGUUCCAGGUAAAUCCGGUACCUUUUAACGCUGAGGUGUGAUGACGAGGCACUACGGUGCUGAAGUAACAAAUGCCCUGCUUCCAGGAAAAGCCUCUAAGCAUCAGGUAACAUUAAAUCGUACCCCAAACCGACACAGGUGGUCAGGUAGAGAAUACCAAGGCGCUUGAGAGAACUCGGGUGAAGGAACUAGGCAAAAUGGUGCCGUAACUUCGGGAGAAGGCACGCUGGUGUGUAGGUGAAGUCCCUGCGGACGGAGCUGAGACCAGUCGAAGAUACCAGCUGGCUGCAACUGUUUAUUAAAAACACAGCACUGUGCAAACACGAAAGUGGACGUAUACGGUGUGACGCCUGCCCGGUGCCGGAAGGUUAAUUGAUGGGGUUAUCCGUAAGGAGAAGCUCUUGAUCGAAGCCCCGGUAAACGGCGGCCGUAACUAUAACGGUCCUAAGGUAGCGAAAUUCCUUGUCGGGUAAGUUCCGACCUGCACGAAUGGCGUAAUGAUGGCCAGGCUGUCUCCACCCGAGACUCAGUGAAAUUGAACUCGCUGUGAAGAUGCAGUGUACCCGCGGCAAGACGGAAAGACCCCGUGAACCUUUACUAUAGCUUGACACUGAACAUUGAGCCUUGAUGUGUAG